RNAcentral lists this non-coding RNA (88 nucleotides) under unclassified sequences. The record is from RNAcentral.
UGAAUACUGCCACCGGGUAGUGAAUGCAUCGGCAUUCGCUUUCGCAUCGUUAGGUCUUAGAAGAUGCGAAUGCGGAUGCUUUUGUUUU